CACACGUUCCUUAGAUCCGCCUCUGGGGAGCGUCAGUGCUCUUCUUCUGCUGCUCUCUGUGUGAGAGCAUCAGGGUCGACCGCAGCUCCCGCCAGCUUUACUGCUGUACCGUCAGAGGCGCUUGAGUCAUUGGCGUGUGAGAUCAGUCCAUCUGCUUACCCAGAAUUCUCUCUGCCCUGAACCUUCACAGGAGUCCACCAGGGCAGAGCUGCUGGGUAGCGGACACA
Small nucleolar RNA from Danio rerio (zebrafish), 227 nucleotides. The record is from Ensembl. NCBI's taxonomy places the organism in Eukaryota, Metazoa, Chordata, Actinopteri, Cypriniformes, Danionidae.